UGGUGGAGAGGCGUAAAUGUAUACUGGUGGAGGAGGUGAUUUCACGGGUGGAGGAGGUGAGUUGUAGUAGUAGGGGGGAGGAGGAGAUUUUACUGGUGGAGGUGGAGAGUGGUAAUAGUAGGGAGGUGGAGGAGAAGGUGACGGUGGAGGUGGUGACUUGUAGUAGUAGGGUGGAGGUGGUGAUGGGGAUGGUGGAGGAGGAGACUUGUAAUAGUAGGGUGGUGGAGGUGAUGGUGAUGGGGGUGGUGGAGACAUGUAGUAGUAAGGUGGUGGAGGAGAUGAUGAUGGGGGUGGAGGAGACUUGUAGUAGUAUGGUGGAGGGGGAGAAGGUGAUGGUGGCGGUGGGGACUUGUAGUAGUAAGGUGGUGGAGGAGACGGUGAUGGUGGGGGUGGGGACUUGUAGUAGUAAGGUGGGGGUGGAGAGGGUGAUGGUGGUGGCGGUGAUUUGUAAUAGUAUACAGGUGCAGGUUUUGGUGAUGGUGGUGGAGGAGACUUGUAGUAGUAAGGAGGUGGAGGAGAAGGUGACGGUGGAGGUGGUGACUUGUAGUAGUAGGGUGGAGGUGGUGAUGGGGAUGGUGGAGGAGGAGACUUGUAAUAGUAGGGUGGUGGAGGUGAUGGUGAUGGGGGUGGUGGAGACAUGUAGUAGUAAGGUGGUGGAGGAGAUGAUGAUGGGGGUGGAGGAGACUUGUAGUAGUAUGGUGGAGGGGGAGAAGGUGAUGGUGGCGGUGGGGACUUGUAGUAGUAAGGUGGUGGAGGAGACGGUGAUGGUGGGGGUGGGGACUUGUAGUAGUAAGGUGGUGGUGGAGAGGGUGAUGGUGGUGGCGGUGAUUUGUAAUAGUAUACAGGUGCAGGUUUUGGUGAUGGUGGUGGAGGAGACUUGUAGUAGUAAGGAGGUGGAGGAGAAGGUGACGGUGGUGGUGGUGACUUAUAAUAGUAUACUGGUGCAGGUUUUGGUGAUGGUGGUGGAGGAGACUUGUAGUAGUAAGGAGGUGGAGGAGAAGGUGACGGUGGUGGUGGUGACUUAUAAUAGUAUGGAUUUAUAAACGUAUGUCGGGGUUGGGGGAGGUGGUGACUUGUAAACAUAUGUUGGUGAUGGAGGAGGUGGUGACUUAUAAACAUAAGUUGGUGAUGGAGGUGGAGGAGAUUUAUAGUAGUAUGGAGCAGGUGUAGGAUUGGGUUUUUUGCAUUCGGCAUAAGGUGUCUUAGAGCCAUAAGCAAAUGGUUUUGCAUAGAGUACAACUUCAUAUUUAUUCUUUGACUUCACUUUGAGGUUAGCACCCUUAAUUCCCCAAUGAAGAUUUGUAGGAAUGCUACACUUUGAAUCCUUAGGAGCAUUGUGGAGUUUAGCCUUGCAAGCCUUUGCUCCAUAUUUGCUAUAUUCAAAUCCUUCAACAGUGAUGCUAAAUUUGCCAUUGAUCUUAGUGGUACCAUAACUCACAAUUUCUUUGUCACCGGCCUUGCAAGUCACUUCAACAACAACACCUAAUUCAUAGAAAGAAGAAAUAAUACUCAAUGAAUACUAAAAAUAAAUUUAAUUUACAAAGACACUUCUAAUGAUGAAUAGUAAAUUGUAAAGAAUAAAAAAUUUGAAAUAAAUUGAAGUAAAACAUAUAUUUGUACCUUUGAGGUGCUUCUUAGCAUGAGACUUUUCUGGGUAUUCCUUAUCAUAGCAUCUAAAACAGUAAACUUUUCCAACAACCUUGACUACAAAGUGAUGAUGUGGAGGAUAAUAGUGAGUAGGUGGUGGUGGGGAAGUGUAGUAGUAUGGUGGAGGAGAUGAUUUCUUUGGUGGUGGUGGUGAAGUGUAGUAGUAUGGUGAAGGAGACGACUUAGCUGGUGGUGGUGGAGAAGUGUAGUGAUACGGUGGAGGAGGUGAUUUCUUUGGUGGUGGAGGAGAGCUGUAGUAGUAUGGUGGAGGAGGUGACUUAGCUGGUGGUGGUGGUGAAGUGUAGUGAUAUGGUGGAGGAGGUGAUUUCUUUGGUGGUGGAGGAGAGUUGUAGUAGUAUGGUGGAGGAGGAGACUUCUUCGGGGGUGGUGGAGAACUAUAGUAAUAUGGUGGUGGAGGUGACUUCUUGGGUGGGGGUGGGGAGUUGUAGUAGUAAGGUGGGGGUGGUGAAGACUUAGGAGGCGGUGGAGAUUUAUAGUAGUAAGGUGGUGGAGAUGACGGUGAUGGUGGUGGAGGAGAUUUGUAAUAGUAAGGUGGUGGUGGAGAAGGCGAAGGAGGUGGUGGAGAUUUAUAGUAGUAUGGUGGAGGUGGUGAUGGUGAGGGUGGUGGUGGAGAUUUGUAAUAAUAUGGUGGCGGGGGUGAUGGUGAAGGUGGUGGAGGAGAUUUAUAGUAGUAUGGUGGUGGUGGUGAAGGUGAUGGCGGAGGAGGUGACUUGUAGUAAUACGGUGGAGGUGGUGAUGGUGACGGGGGAGGUGGAGACUUGUAUACAUAUGGUGGUGGUGGAGAGGGAGAUGGAGGUGGUGGAGACUUGUAUACAUAUGGUGGUGGUGGAGAUGGUGAAGGAGGAGGUGGAGAAGUAUAGACAUAUGGAGGCGGGGGAGAAGGUGAAGGAGGAAGUGGAGAUUUGUAUACGUAAGGUGGAGGCGGAGAAGGAGAAGGAGGUGGUGGUGACUUGUACUCAUACGCGGGAGGAGGUGGAGAAGAAUAUACAUAAGGGUCAGCCGAUACUACAUUUGCCACAACCAAUACGGCCAAAGCCACUAAGAUCAGCCGCAAACGACGACCCCUUGUGGGGCCGCCACCGUUAAACUUCAUUUUCGCCGGAAAACACAACCACCCACCCCUCAAAUAUGGCUACAAAAAUCUCCAAAAACUUGAAGAAAAAAAAGAGAGGAAGACUAUAGUGUUAUAGUUGAGAAGUGAUGAAUUUAGUUGAUUGAGUGUACAAAGUAUUUAUAGUAACAUUUUAAGAAUAACUACUAGCUGGUAUAGAGUUGUCAACAAGUGACCAAUUCAAUUAAUCUGAUUGUUAAUCAAUGAUUAAAAUUAUUAAGAACUUAAAACAGCUAGAUGAAUUUUUUAUUUUAUUUUUAUUUUUAAAGUCCAUUACUAGAUCACUUUGAAUUUUCCAUGCAACUUCUUUAACAAGUAAAUAUAAACAUAUCAUAAAAUGGUUUAAGGCAAGUGAGUGCUAAUUUAAAAUUAUUUCCACUUCUCUUGCAUUUUUGAACUUUUUGUUUUGUCUCAUAGAGAGUGAGAUCUCACAAUUAUUUGUGUUUUUCUAUUUACAAAUAAUUAUUCAUUAUGUAGUAUGUUCUUAAAUAUCUUUUGCAUAACAUUAUGGAUUAUCACGAGGUGGACGAUUCUUUACUUUAACGAGGUUUCGAGAUUGAAUUUUAGGAAUGAAGAUAUUACUGGUAGGGAGAAUAGGCCCUAUGCAUAGGAAAUUUGAAUUAGUUGAGCCGAUAAGUUCCUAAUACUAUGAUUAUGACGGAAAAGACAAAAUUGUCUUGAUUUAGAGUACAAAUUAUUUUGUAAAUUGUGGACUAGAAACUUAAUUUGUAAUACAACAAUUUCUUUAAGAUUGAAAUGUUUCAACAAUUACAAAUGGAAGUACUCUAAAAUGCUAUACAAUGUUAGUUUAGUUACAUUGCUUGUGGAGACUUGGCAUGACAUGCACAAAUCAAGAAAUGGUCCGAAUUUAAUUCAAUCAUUUUUUAUAAGGAGCGUUUUAUCGUCCAAUAUGAAAUGUUUUGACGUGAAUUUGAGUUAUUGAACUACAAAACAGAAACUAGACACCAGACACUAAACACCAGAUGAAAAAACCCCUAAAAAUAAAUAAAGAAUUACCUAAUCAUGUUUGUUUUGUUUAUUACACAUUUCUGAAUUGUAAGUGUAUAUAUAUAUAUAUAUAUAUAAUAAGAGAAUAUUUCUGUCAUUUUUGUUUAAUUACAGGGAAUAUUGGAUAUUAGUUCUGACAUUAUACUAAUUUAAAAUUACAAGCCGACAUAAGUUCAAUUAUUUCCUUAGUUGACUUUAAUUUCCUCCCUAAUUGUUACUUUAUUUUUUAUUAUUAUUUCUUAAUGAGGAUAUUAUAUGUUUGUUCCCUCAAUUACUAAUGAAUUUAGGUUUUGAUCCUUGUAAUAUUAGACGAAACACAUUCAAAUUUAAUGAGUUAAAAAGUGGAUUUAUCCCUUCAUGUACCGAAAUAUGCUAUAUUUAAACUAUUUUCAGAAUUAUAUUAUCCUAAAAUAUGAAGUAACAAUACAAAUUUAAAAUAACAUAUUGAUAAUUGAAUAAGUUAACUCUUAAUAAUUCACUAAUUUAUUAAAGUUCAAUGUCAGAUUGAUCAAAAGUGCAUAUAUGAUCAAUUGAUUGGACCACAAAAUAAGGAUCAAACUAUAUAUUUACAUAUUUUGUAACUAUAUUCUUUUUUCUUAUAUAAGUAUUUUCAUUGUAAUAAUAUUUGAAAAUGCAUGUGAAUUCUCAAUGAUGAGAUCAACUACAUGUGGAUGCAAUACUUAUAGUUUUUUUUGCAGCUUUUUAUUGGUCCAAUUUUUGCAAAAAGGAUCAUCAAAAGCAUAGAACAAACUAGAAAUGGAUUUUUAUCCUUUUUGGCGCAUUAUGAUGGGAAAUUUUAUAUGAUUUUUUUUAAUUUUUUUGAUGCUUGGUUGUAAGAGAAUAUUUUGGCAUUAUACAUAAAUAUGAUUUUUAAUUUGGCUUCAACUGAUAUUUAUGUCCUUCAACUUUAAGUGUACAUAAGUAACCACUAAAACUUGUACAAAAUUAAACAAGCAUAUACAUACCUUUUACAUGACGUCCUAUGUGACAAUUUGCAUCCUACAUGUCGCAUCCUACGUGUAAUAUGUCACAUAAGACGUGUGCGUCUACUUGUUCAAUUAUAUACAAGUUUUUAAGUAUCUACUUGUGUGCACUCAAAGUUUGAGGACAUGGAUACCAAUUGAAGUCAAAUUAAAAAACACAUUUAUAUGUUAUGCCUAAUAUUUUUUCUGCCAUAUGACGUUUCUCACUUUUAGGCGAAAGUCAUUUUCCUUUAUAAUUAUAACGAUUUUGAAUCACAAUUUUAUUCAGUACUUGGUUAUUAUUGAUCAAUUUUGCUUGUGAAAAAUAAUCGUUGUUAUGAAGCUAUAUAUCAUUUGGGACCAAAUUGACCUUCUUAUUGAUUUGUGCACAAACUAACAAAAUACAAUUUAAUUAGUAGGAAUGAAUAAUUUGAGGAUAUCCUCAAUACAAACAAUAAAUUACAAAGAAAUAAACACUAUGAAGCAUUGUUCCAUUGACGUUUGAAUCUUCUCCUCAAGAAGCCAUCAUAAUUUAUUUUGUGCUUCAAACUAAAACCUGAAAAGAAACAAUCAAAAAGAAAAUUAGAGCCUUAAUUCAAAGAAAAGAAGUAGACUAAAUUAAUCUGUGAAAAAGAAUCACAAUUCAAAUGUCAACUCACUUGAUUGAUUGUGGAGAAUGAUUGAACACUUGAAAUUUCUUAGUAGUGAAUGGGAGGUGGUGGUGAAGCGUAAAUAUAUACUGGUGGAGGAGGUGAGCUAUAGUAAUAAGGAGGGGGAGGAGACUUUACUGGUGGAGGGGGAGAGUGAUAGUAGUAAGGAGGUGGGGGAGAAGGCGAUGGUGGAGGAGGCGACUUGUAGUAGUAGGGUGGUGGAGGAGAUGGUGAUGGAGGUGGUGGUGACUUGUAGUAGUAUGGUGGAGGGGGAGAAGGUGAUGGAGGAGGAGG
This 5693-nucleotide long non-coding RNA is filed under the name Solanum tuberosum (potato). Its description in RNAcentral is "long non-coding RNA (STUB_LNC011934)". The record is from RNAcentral. Lineage: Eukaryota; Viridiplantae; Streptophyta; Magnoliopsida; Solanales; Solanaceae.